This 496-nucleotide ribosomal RNA is filed under the name uncultured bacterium. RNAcentral describes it as "partial 16S ribosomal RNA". It matches the Rfam family "Bacterial small subunit ribosomal RNA", at positions 28 to 506 of the family's 1533-position model. The record is from RNAcentral.
GAUGAACGCUGGCGGCGUGCCUAAUACAUGCAAGUCGAGCGAACAGACGAGGAGCUUGCUCCUCUGACGUUAGCGGCGGACGGGUGAGUAACACGUGGAUAACCUACCUAUAAGACUGGGAUAACUUCGGGAAACCGGAGCUAAUACCGGAUAAUAUAUUGAACCGCAUGGUUCAAUAGUGAAAGACGGUUUUGCUGUCACUUAUAGAUGGAUCCGCGCCGCAUUAGCUAGUUGGUAAGGUAACGGCUUACCAAGGCAACGAUGCGUAGCCGACCUGAGAGGGUGAUCGGCCACACUGGAACUGAGACACGGGCCAGACUCCUAGGGGGGGCAGGAGUGGGGAAUCUUCCGCAAUGGGCGAAAGCUUGACGGAGCAACGCCGCGGGAGUGAUGAAGGUCUUCGGAUUGUAAAACUCUGUUAUUAGGGAAAAAAAAAUGUGUAAGUAACUAUGCACGUCUUGACGGUACCUAAUCAGAAAGCCACGGCUAACUACGU